This 74-nucleotide transfer RNA is filed under the name Syntrophomonas curvata. RNAcentral describes it as "tRNA-Gln". It matches the Rfam family "tRNA". From Rfam's summary of the family: Transfer RNA (tRNA) molecules are approximately 80 nucleotides in length. Their secondary structure includes four short double-helical elements and three loops (D, anti-codon, and T loops). Further hydrogen bonds mediate the characteristic L-shaped molecular structure. tRNAs have two regions of fundamental functional importance: the anti-codon, which is responsible for specific mRNA codon recognition, and the 3' end, to which the tRNAs corresponding amino acid is attached (by aminoacyl-tRNA synthetases). tRNAs cope with the degeneracy of the genetic code in two manners: having more than one tRNA (with a specific anti-codon) for a particular amino acid; and 'wobble' base-pairing, i.e. permitting non-standard base-pairing at the 3rd anti-codon position. The record is from RNAcentral. RNAcentral also lists the same sequence under 1 other name. Lineage: Bacteria; Bacillati; Bacillota; Clostridia; Eubacteriales; Syntrophomonadaceae.
UGCCGGUUGGUGUAACGGUAGCACGACUGACUCUGGAUCAGUUCGUCAGGGUUCGAAUCCUUGACCGGCAGCCA